GGCUCUCCCAGGCGCGCCUCAACUCCGCGGCUUCGCCGGCUCAGGCUCCGGAUUUACUAGAAGCCAUUUUGUCUCCCCCACCCCUUCCCUCCCCUCCCCUCCCCUCUGCCCUCCCCGCCCCCACCACUUCCCCCUUUUGUUAAUUAAAACUAAGAAGUCGGAAUGGGAACGAGGUGCCCAGCUCCCGUGGAGAAAGCUUAAGGACACCACGCCAGUGUUUUCCUGCCUUCCUUCCGAGAUGGAAAGAGGAGCUCCUAGCUCACUUAAGCCGGGGUAGGGCUGGUUCUCCUUUCCGAGCCAAAAUCCCAGGCGAUGGUGAAUUAUGAACGUGCCACACCAUGAAGCUCUUGUGGCAGGUAACUGUGCACCACCACACCUGGAAUGCCAUCCUGCUCCCAGUCGUCUACCUCACGGCGCAAGUGUGGAUUCUGUGUGCAGCCAUCGCUGCUGCCGCCUCAGCCGGGCCCCAGAACUGCCCCUCUGUCUGCUCGUGCAGUAACCAGUUCAGCAAGGUGGUGUGCACCCGCCGGGGCCUCUCCGAAGUCCCGCAGGGUAUUCCCUCCAACACCCGGUACCUCAACCUCAUGGAGAACAACAUCCAGAUGAUCCAGGCCGACACCUUCCGCCACCUCCACCACCUGGAGGUCCUGCAGUUGGGCAGGAACUCCAUCCGGCAGAUUGAGGUGGGGGCCUUCAAUGGCCUGGCCAGCCUCAACACCCUGGAGCUGUUCGACAACUGGCUGACAGUCAUCCCUAGCGGGGCCUUUGAAUACCUGUCCAAGCUGCGGGAGCUCUGGCUUCGCAACAACCCCAUCGAAAGCAUCCCCUCUUACGCCUUCAACCGGGUGCCCUCCCUCAUGCGCCUGGACUUGGGGGAGCUCAAGAAGCUGGAGUAUAUCUCCGAGGGAGCUUUUGAGGGGCUGUUCAACCUCAAAUACCUGAACUUGGGCAUGUGCAACAUUAAAGACAUGCCCAAUCUCACCCCCCUGGUGGGGCUGGAGGAGCUGGAGAUGUCAGGGAACCACUUCCCUGAGAUCAGGCCUGGCUCCUUCCACGGCCUGAGCUCCCUCAAGAAGCUCUGGGUCAUGAACUCACAGGUCAGCCUGAUUGAGCGGAAUGCUUUUGACGGGCUGGCUUCACUUGUGGAACUCAACUUGGCCCACAAUAACCUCUCUUCUUUGCCCCAUGACCUCUUUACCCCGCUGAGGUACCUGGUGGAGUUGCACCUACACCACAAUCCUUGGAACUGUGAUUGUGACAUUCUGUGGCUAGCCUGGUGGCUUCGAGAGUAUAUACCCACCAAUUCCACCUGCUGUGGCCGCUGUCAUGCUCCCAUGCACAUGCGAGGCCGCUACCUCGUGGAGGUGGACCAGGCCUCUUUCCAGUGCUCUGCCCCCUUCAUCAUGGAUGCACCUCGAGACCUCAAUAUUUCUGAGGGUCGGAUGGCAGAACUUAAGUGUCGGACUCCCCCUAUGUCCUCCGUGAAGUGGUUGCUGCCCAAUGGGACAGUGCUCAGCCACGCCUCCCGCCACCCACGGAUCUCUGUCCUCAACGACGGCACCUUGAACUUUUCCCACGUGCUGCUUUCAGACACUGGGGUAUACACAUGCAUGGUGACCAAUGUGGCAGGCAACUCCAACGCCUCGGCCUACCUAAAUGUGAGCACGGCCGAGCUCAACACCUCCAACUACAGCUUCUUCACCACAGUAACAGUGGAGACCACAGAGAUCUCGCCUGAGGACACAACGCGAAAGUACAAGCCUGUUCCUACCACGUCCACUGGUUACCAGCCGGCAUAUACCACCUCUACCACGGUGCUCAUUCAGACCACCCGUGUUCCCAAGCAGGUGGCAGUACCCGCGACAGACACCACUGACAAGAUGCAAACCAGUCUGGAUGAAGUCAUGAAGACCACCAAGAUCAUAAUUGGCUGCUUUGUGGCAGUGACUCUGCUAGCUGCCGCCAUGUUGAUUGUCUUCUAUAAACUUCGUAAGCGGCACCAGCAGCGGAGUACAGUCACAGCCGCCCGGACUGUUGAGAUUAUCCAGGUGGACGAAGACAUCCCAGCAGCAACAUCGGCAGCAGCAACAGCAGCUCCGUCCGGUGUAUCAGACAUAGCAGGAAUGAGGCUGCCUUGGCUGAAGGAAGAAGAUGGUGCAUAUCUGGAGCCCCAGUGGAGCAGGACUAUUUGCCAUCUGCUGCACUAGUUGCCUCGUCUCCAUAUCAGGCCUUGUCUGUAGUUUGCUGCAAAUAUUGGGAGCCGAGCCACUUCCCACCCAUGGAAAGCCUUGAACCCUUUGUAUUCUGGCUGCCAAGAUGAUCUGAAAGCAGGGAGCCACUUUUCAGCUUAGGGAAAAACAUGUGCAUUAAAUGGAAGUAGAUUCUUUUUUUCCCUCCCUCUCGCCACUCCCAGCCAUUUUUAAAGCUUUAUACUAAAAAGGAGGAAGAUCUGUCUGACAAAGCUGAGGAAGAUGAUGGAACUGCCAGGCCAGAAUGGUUUAUUAAUGAUCCAUGGGAAAAAAACAAUCGUCCUGCUGGCAGCUUCACAUGUAAUUAACCAGCUUCACAGAGAGCUGGCUGCCUUCUCCAGGCCUGGCAUCCGCAGACCGCAGAGCUACCUGACACAGCAACACUGGGUUUCUAGUGAAAUCUCCCUACUGGGAGAGGGGCAUCCAAAAUAGUGACCUCAACCCACUCGGCGCUCAGGAAACAAGACCGAGAUGGCAGUGCUCCUCUGGAGAAGGCUGGCUGUGUGCUCGGGCUGACACAAAGACUGCGACCUCCAUGCUGGCAACAACCAGCCCUGGGAACUGCCACUCCCACUGCUCACCAUUAACUCACUCAGUUGCAGUGACAAUGUAAGAGAAGACCUGCAUCAACAGAGAAAAAGCAGAGAGCCCUCACUGUUGGCAGAUGAGUUUCCAAAUACCCGCAUGGCAAGUGGAGAACAUGGCAAAGAUGCUCAAACCAUUAUUCCUUAGACAUCCAUGAGAACACUCACCAAAGCUCAAGAAGCAGUGACUAUUGAGGAUGAUUAAAGAGGUAAGAGAAACCAGAAUUGUUACUAGGAGCAUCUGAUAUGUCUAAAUGAAAUAAAUGGCACCCAGCUGUCCUAGCACAAACCCUACCUCUUGGGGGAGUCCAGCAGUCUCUUCCUCCUGAUAACAUUUUUCCAUUUGUUCUAGGUCAUAGGCCCUACAUAGCUAUAAGAGAGGGAGACCAGGAGACUGAAUAUACCUGGCAAUAGCUAUCUUCCAUAGGAAUGGCUCAUUAAGAAUACCAUUUCAUGUCAGAUGGGUAUUGGAAUACCAUGAGUGGCAAGGGUUCUGCUUAGCUAGGCUCUGUUUCAAGGACUUUCAUGACCUUAUGUUUUCCAGUAUGUGCAUUCUCCAAUGGCAAUCACUGCCCACUAUCCUCAUCAUCCAGCCUCAAUUGAGAUGAGGCAUAAAGUAAGUACUAUGGACCCUUCUAGCAGAAAAAAUGCAAGAGGAAAUCACAUGUGAGGCUUUUACGUCUUUACUCUGGGCUGAGCUGGGUCAGACCUAAAGAUGGAGAGGAAAAGUGAAACUGUCAGGUCUAAGGACUGUAUUUCUUCCUUUUUUUUUUUUUUUUUUUUGAUAGGAACAACAUUAAGAAAAACAAAUUGAUCUGACGAGAAAACAUAAAACUCCCUUAAGGAAGAGUUUACUAUAGUAGGGACCCAUUCCCUAGGGGAAGGGAAGGGAAGCGUCUGCUGAAAAGGAUUUUCUUCCUUGGGCUAGAAUUACAUCCCCGAGGCCUUCCUACAUGUUCCAAGGAGGCCAAAUCUCGUGUGGUCCUAAACUAUUCCUCAUUCCACUCCUAAUCCCAACAGCCAUCCUGGGAUAGGAGCACUAGCCUCUGGAGAGCAGUGAGGCCUAUCAAACCUACACCAGUCAGCCUGUAUGACAUAAUUACAGAUAAUAUAGGAUCUUGGCCAAGCCAAUGAAAAAUUAGGCACAGUACCUAUUUCAGAAGAAUGGAUGCAAUUCUAUGCUUGACUGGCUAUGAAAGUUCUAAGGAGAGGAAUAGGGAAACAGCUGAGCUGAGCCAGCAGCUUUGCAGAGAGGAAUCCCACUGGAGCCAGCACAGCACUGGCACCUAUCAGCACAUGCUGUUGAGCUCACUUGGGGAAGGCCACCAGUGACUGGAGACUCGGCUCCUUCCACACAUUAAAAGCUGAUAGGGGAAGCCCAGCAGUCAGGGGAAGAAAGGCAAUGGGGCAGCGUCCCCCAUGGUACAUUUCUACCUCAACUCUUCUCCUUGGGAUGCCACUUUCAUUUAGGGGCUGGAAUGGGAUUUGAGGUCCUGCCCUCUAGGGCUUUUGGAAGUACUUCGCAAAGGGCCAGGAGCCCAGAAGUGAAGGGGCUGUAAUAGACAGAUAACAACCUGGUAUUCAGGAAGAGCUUAUAGCCCAUCUCCGAACAGGAAUUUGUUGACCUGAACUUCCAAAUUAACUCCUCGCUCAUUUAGCAGUCUAAUCCACAAAACAGAAACAUACCAGAGAGGGAGAGAUUUGCAGACUAUGUUUGGAGAGUGAAGGGACAUGAAUGGUUUCUAUUUGAACACUAAACAUUUUUCAAAACACUCAUCAUUAUCUCAUUACUUUUAAAUAUACUGGCUGGACAGAUAGGGAGACCCAGGCAGGUGAGGGUCCUAUAGUAAGUGCACAGUCAGGUUUUGGCUAUGGACUUUUUCAAUAAGAAGUUGAUGAAUUAGCAGCCAUGUGUCCAGCCUCAAUACUUCAACAGUUUUCCUCCCACCCUGACAAAUGCCGAGCUUGGAGAGCUUUCCUAAAGAACCAUAAAGGACAACAAAAUAACAGGCCUUCUUCCCAUUCUCUAGAAUUAGGUCACAGGGAAUCAAUUAGUUGAUUUGACAAAUAUUUAUUUGUUGAGUAUCUCUUAUAUACUAAGCACUGGAGUACAAAGACAAAACAUGGUUCCUGUCUGUGAGGAGCUUACAAGCUAGCGGGGAGAGACUUGGGUCAUAGAUCCCUUGUAUACUAUUGGUAAGUACACAACAGAUGUAUGCUGUGGGAACUGAUGGAAGGAUAUCUCAUCUAGGCUGGGAGAGCAAGGGAAGGCUUCCAAGAAAAAGUGAUGCACCUUCCAGAACAGGCGUGAACAGGUGUGAAAGCAAGCAAGGGGGAUGACUGAUGUGCUGGGCUGAGAGUGUUAAGUCUACCUGAGAGAUGGGAGAGACAAAAUGUUGGUAUAUAUGGCGAACUGCCAGUAUAACAGGUCUAUUCUGAUAAGGCACAAAUUAGGAAGUGAGUGGGGAUAGUGAGACAUAAAGUUGGAGAGGUUAUCAAGAAUAUAUGUAAACUGAGAUGAGACUUUAUCCCAGAGGCAAUGGGAAGUUAUAUAUAUAUUUUUUUUAAACAAAUGCACCUACACAGAUCUGUCUUUUAAGAAAGAUUAGAUACAGGAAUACAGACAUACAUGAACAAAUGGGAAAAGUAAGGCCCACAAAAAUCAAACAGCAGAUGAAGCAGGAAUCAGACAAUCAAUAGACACAGGAGCUGUGGCAAGAGCAGAGUAAAUAUUUAGGGCAGGCAUGGGCAUAGCCAGUCCUUCAAAUUCCUCGGCAGUCUUGGAAGCAUCCAGGAUCAGAAUCCAUGCCCUACAGAAGACUGACAGUCAAUGUGGGACCUUCAGGGAAGUCCUCUACUAUUCCUUUAACUAGUUCCAGGUAUUCUAUGGUUGAAAAAUGGUAAAAUAUGGCUAAAAUAAUUAUUGCCUUCUAAAAGCAAAACUGGCAAGAUUUGAAGAGAAAAAGCAUUUGAAUUGGAAUGCAGAUAGUUGAGUUUUAGUAUAUGUCUUACCAUUAGCUCUGUGAACAGAGGCAAGUUACUGUGCAUUUUGGUUUCUUGAACUGUAAAACAGGGUUAGUAUUUUUCUUAUAGGUUUGCUGUGAGAUUAAAAUGAAAUAUUAUGCAUGAAAACACUUUUAAAACGAGAAAAUGCUGUAUAAAAUUAAGGUUUGAUCACUAUUAAGACAGGAGUUUUUCUUACCUGAGCCUUCUUCAAAGAAAAUAGCCCUUAACUAAGAAUAAACUGCUUGAAAUUAAA
RNA transcript from Piliocolobus tephrosceles (Ugandan red Colobus), 6092 nucleotides. It is a transcript of the gene named leucine rich repeat containing 4, with no coding region annotated. The transcript has 5 exons. The record is from RefSeq and is a predicted model, not a curated record. Lineage: Eukaryota; Metazoa; Chordata; Mammalia; Primates; Cercopithecidae.